UACGUAGGUGGCGAGCGUUGUCCGGAUUUAUUGGGUUUAAAGGGUGCGUAGGCGGUCCCUUAAGUCAGUGCUGAAAUACUCCAGCUUAACUGGAGGGGUGGCAUUGAUACUGGGGGACUUGAAUGAAGUCGAGGUAGGCGGAAUUGACGGUGUAGCGGUGAAAUGCGUAGAUAUCUGGAGGAGCACCGGUGGCGAAGGCGGCGUUCUGGACUGCUACUGACACUGAGGAACGAAAGCCAGGGGAGCAAACGGG
This 253-nucleotide ribosomal RNA is filed under the name uncultured bacterium. Its description in RNAcentral is "partial 16S ribosomal RNA". It matches the Rfam family "Bacterial small subunit ribosomal RNA", at positions 524 to 776 of the family's 1533-position model. The record is from RNAcentral.